GACGAACGCUGGCGGCGUGCUUAACACAUGCAAGUCGAACGGAAAGGCCUUUUCGGAGGUACUCGAGUGGCGAACGGGUGAGUAACACGUGGGUGAUCUGCCCUGCACUCUGGGAUAAGCCUGGGAAACUGGGUCUAAUACCGGAUAGGACCGCACUUUAGUGUGUGUGGUGGAAAGUUUUUUCGGUGUAGGAUGAGCCCGCGGCCUAUCAGCUUGUUGGUGGGGUAAUGGCCUACCAAGGCGGCGACGGGUAGCCGGACUGAGAGGUUGGUCGGCCACAUUGGGACUGAGAUACGGCCCAGACUCCGACGGGAGGCAGCAGUGGGGAAUAUUGCACAAUGGGCGCAAGCCUGAUGCAGCGACGCCGCGUGGGGGAUGACGGCCUUCGGGUUGUAAACUCCUUUCGCCAGGGACGAAGCGUUUUGUGACGGUACCUGGAGAAGAAGCACCGGCUAACUACGUG
RNAcentral lists this ribosomal RNA (463 nucleotides) under uncultured bacterium. RNAcentral's name for it is "partial 16S ribosomal RNA". It matches the Rfam family "Bacterial small subunit ribosomal RNA", at positions 28 to 507 of the family's 1533-position model. The record is from RNAcentral.